GGUGUUGUACUUUAAUAUAAAAGAUUUGGUUUGCAUUCAGGCAAUGGGAUUUAUAGUCCCCAAUACCA
RNAcentral lists this transfer RNA (68 nucleotides) under Neomphalidae sp. Hatoma. Its description in RNAcentral is "tRNA-Ala". It matches the Rfam family "tRNA". Rfam says of the family: Transfer RNA (tRNA) molecules are approximately 80 nucleotides in length. Their secondary structure includes four short double-helical elements and three loops (D, anti-codon, and T loops). Lineage: Eukaryota; Metazoa; Mollusca; Gastropoda; Neomphalida; Neomphalidae. The record is from RNAcentral.